CCUACGGGAGGAGGCAGCAGUGGGGAAUAUUGGACAAUGGGCGCAAGCCUGAUCCAGCAAUGCCGCGUGGGUGAAGACGGCCUGCGGGUUGUAAAGCCCUUUAGGCGGGGAAGAACGGCCGGGCGCAAACAUCGCGCGGCUCUGACGUUACCCGCAGAAUAAGCACCGGCUAACUCCGUGCCAGCAGCCGCGGUAAU
This 197-nucleotide ribosomal RNA is filed under the name uncultured Pseudomonadota bacterium. RNAcentral describes it as "uncultured proteobacterium partial 16S ribosomal RNA". It matches the Rfam family "Bacterial small subunit ribosomal RNA", at positions 338 to 524 of the family's 1533-position model. Lineage: Bacteria; Pseudomonadati; Pseudomonadota. The record is from RNAcentral.